Molecule: ribosomal RNA, 464 nt
Filed under: uncultured bacterium
Lineage: Bacteria
Description: partial 16S ribosomal RNA
Rfam family: Bacterial small subunit ribosomal RNA
Source: RNAcentral
GACGAACGCUGGCGGCGUGCUUAACACAUGCAAGUCGAACGAUGAAGCCAGCUUACUGGUGGAUUAGUGGCGAACGGGUGAGUAACACGUGGGUGAUCUGCCCCAAACUUUGGGAUAAGCCUGGGAAACUGGGUCUAAUACCGAAUAUGACCGAUACUCGCAUAGGUGUUGGUGGAAAGCUCCGGCGGUUUGGGAUGGGCCCGCGGCCUAUCAGCUUGUUGGUGGGGUAAUGGCCUACCAAGGCGACGACGGGUAGCCGGCCUGAGAGGGCGACCGGCCACACUGGGACUGAGACACGGCCCAGACUCCUACGGGAGGCAGCAGUGGGGAAUAUUGCACAAUGGGCGCAAGCCUGAUGCAGCGACGCCGCGUGAGGGAUGACGGCCUUCGGGUUGUAAACCUCUUUCACCAGGGACGAAGCGAAAGUGACGGUACCUGGAGAAGAAGCACCGGCCAACUACGUG